Molecule: long non-coding RNA, 679 nt
Organism: Carassius auratus (goldfish)
Lineage: Eukaryota; Metazoa; Chordata; Actinopteri; Cypriniformes; Cyprinidae
Exons: 4
Source: RefSeq, a predicted model, not a curated record
GUAACACAUAGCUGCGUGAAUCGCCAUAGAUAUACAUUUGUAGAAGUAGCUCCGGUUAGAAUGUUCUUCCGCGGGACGCGUGCGUUUGUGUUUAUUAGCCGCUAGCGCGCCAAAAUGUACAUAGUGUUGCUUUAACAGUCCUAAAUGUAACGAAUCUUCUCCAGAUAAUUAUUUGAUACAGUCGAAAUGAAUUGCUGACAGAGAGACGGUGGCAUUUAUAUCUCGGCGUGGAUGAGAAGAGAACCUCAGCUGAGACACAUGUGAACUGUGAACUUACCCUAUGGUUAAAGGUGUGUGUGGAGAUCUGUGUGGGUCAGAUGAGCAUCAGAGAAGAUUCUUCUACUCACAUCCACAAUCAGGAAGUCCAGCCAGCACCAGUAGUUAGUGAAGUAUUUCUUAAAGCCAUACGCGAUCCACUUCAGAAACAUCUCCAGCACGAAGAUGUAGCUGAACACCUUAUCAGCAUAUUCCAACACCACCUUCACCACCUUCCUCUGUUCAAUGUAAAUGUCUUCAAAUGCCUGACCACAAGAAGAAUAUCAUACUACAAGCUCCACUGCUGAGGAGGAUCAUGAAGAUGAUGAAGGUCUCAAACCAGCUGUGUUCAACUAUCUGAUAGCACGUCUUCCUCAACCUCCACCAUGCUUGACCAAGACCUCUCGUCGUGUUGAUAUUGCAA